RNAcentral lists this ribosomal RNA (469 nucleotides) under uncultured bacterium. RNAcentral's name for it is "partial 16S ribosomal RNA". It matches the Rfam family "Bacterial small subunit ribosomal RNA", at positions 28 to 507 of the family's 1533-position model. The record is from RNAcentral.
GACGAACGCUGGCGGCGUGCUUAACACAUGCAAGUCGAACGGAAAGGCCCUGCUUGCAGGGUGCUCGAGUGGCGAACGGGUGAGUAACACGUGGGUGAUCUGCCCCUUACUUUGGGAUAAGCCUGGGAAACUGGGUCUAAUACUGGAUAGGACCAUGCUGUAGGUGGUGUGGUGGAAAGAUUAGUUUCGGUAAGGGAUGAGCUCGCGGCCUAUCAGCUUGUUGGUGGGGUAAUGGCCUACCAAGGCGUCGACGGGUAGCCGGCCGGAGAGGGUGGACGGCGACAUUGGGACUGAGAUACGGCCCAGACUCCUACGGGAGGCAGCAGUGGGGAAUAUUGCACAAUGGGCGCAAGCCUGAUGCAGCGACGCCGCGUGGGGGCUGACGGCCUUCGGGUUGUAAACUCCUUUCAGCCAUGACGAAGCCCUUGUGGUGACGGUAGUGGUAGAAGAAGCACCGGCUAACUACGUG